AUACGGGGGGGGCUAGCGUUGUUCGGAUUUAUUGGGCGUAAAGGGCGCGUAGGCGGUUCGGUAAGUCAACCGUGAAAUCCCUCGGCUCAACCGAGGAACUGCGAUUGAUACUGCCGAGCUUGAGUCCCGGAGAGGAUGGCGGAAUUCCCAGUGUAGCGGUGAAAUGCGUAGAUACUGGGAGGAACACCGGUGGCGAAGGCGGCCAUCUGGACGGGUACUGACGCUGAGGCGCGAAAGCUAGGGGAGCAAACGGGAUUAGAAACCCCGGUAGUCC
Molecule: ribosomal RNA, 274 nt
Filed under: uncultured bacterium
Lineage: Bacteria
Description: partial 16S ribosomal RNA
Rfam family: Bacterial small subunit ribosomal RNA
Source: RNAcentral